GACGAACGCUGGCGGCGUGCUUAACACAUGCAAGUCGAACGGAAAGGCCCUGCUUUUGUGGGGUGCUCGAGUGGCGAACGGGUGAGUAACACGUGAGUAACCUGCCCUUGACUUUGGGAUAACUUCAGGAAACUGGGGCUAAUACCGGAUAGGAGCUCCUGCUGCAUGGUGGGGGUUGGAAAGUUUCGGCGGUUGGGGAUGGACUCGCGGCUUAUCAGCUUGUUGGUGGGGUAGUGGCUUACCAAGGCUUUGACGGGUAGCCGGCCUGAGAGGGUGACCGGCCACAUUGGGACUGAGAUACGGCCCAGACUGCUACGGGAGGCAGCAGUGGGGAAUAUUGCACAAUGGGCGGAAGCCUGAUGCGGCAACGCCGCGUGCGGGAUGACGGCCUUCGGGUUGUAAACCGCUUUCGCCUGUGACGAAGCGUGAGUGACGGUAAUGGGUAAAGAAGCACCGGCUAACUACGUG
This 468-nucleotide ribosomal RNA is filed under the name uncultured bacterium. RNAcentral's name for it is "partial 16S ribosomal RNA". It matches the Rfam family "Bacterial small subunit ribosomal RNA", at positions 28 to 507 of the family's 1533-position model. The record is from RNAcentral.